RNAcentral lists this ribosomal RNA (497 nucleotides) under uncultured bacterium. RNAcentral describes it as "partial 16S ribosomal RNA". It matches the Rfam family "Bacterial small subunit ribosomal RNA", at positions 28 to 507 of the family's 1533-position model. The record is from RNAcentral.
GACGAACGCUGGCGGCGUGCCUAAUACAUGCAAGUUGAGCGCUGAAGGUUGGUACUUGUACCAACUGGAUGAGCAGCGAACGGGUGAGUAACGCGUGGGGAAUCUGCCUUUGAGCGGGGGACAACAUUUGGAAACGAAUGCUAAUACCGCAUAAAAACUUUAAACACAAGUUUUAAGUUUGAAAGAUGCAAUUGCAUCACUCAAAGAUGAUCCCGCGUUGUAUUAGCUAGUUGGUGAGGUAAAGGCUCACCAAGGCGAUGAUACAUAGCCGACCUGAGAGGGUGAUCGGCCACAUUGGGACUGAGACACGGCCCAAACUCCUACGGGAGGCAGCAGUAGGGAAUCUUCGGCAAUGGACGAAAGUCUGACCGAGCAACGCCGCGGGAGUGAAGAAGGGUCUCGGAUCGUAAAACUCUGUUGGUAGAGAAGAACGUUGGUGAGAGUGGAAAGCUCAUCAAGUGACGGUAACUACACAGAAAGGGACGGCUAACUACGUG